Molecule: ribosomal RNA, 807 nt
Filed under: Triticum aestivum (bread wheat)
Lineage: Eukaryota; Viridiplantae; Streptophyta; Magnoliopsida; Poales; Poaceae
Description: partial small subunit ribosomal RNA
Source: RNAcentral
AUGUAUGAUAAGGGGGCGAUGGGAGACGAUGGCGGCACAUUAUUAUCUGCUGCUGUAGAUGUAGAUGAUCAUGGGCAGGGGCAGGGCCUUCCAGUUCCAGAUGAAGACGACGACUACGACGGCAUCUCCUCCUCGUCCUCGCCCACCGGGAAUAAACAUAAUAAGCAGACGAGCUGCCUUCUGCCAGCACGCAGCCUGAGAUCAACAGAUGAAGCAAGUCAUCAUAGCCAGCAAGCAGACGACGGCGUCCGGUCGCUGUCCUUCUCCAAGAUCUUCAGCUUCAGAAUGUGGGCGCCCGCCGGCUCAUCCCUGUCCAUUGAUCAACAUCAACUCGAGCAUGAUGAUGAUUAUGCUGCUGCCUCCAGAUCAGGCUGCAAGCGCCACCACUGGAGGAGAAACCAAGGAAGAAGAAGAACAACAAGAGGACAUCGCGGCCGAGGAGGCGGUGUGCCGCAUCUGCAUGGUAGCCUGUCGGAGGAGGCGGUGCUGAAGCUGGAGUGCUGCUGCAAGGGGGAGCUGGCCCUAGCGCACAGGGCCUGCGCCAUCAAGUGGUUUAGCAUCAACGGCAACGGCACCUGCAACGUGUGCAGCCAGGAGGUGCUCAACCUUCCAGUCACCCUGCGACGCCUGCCGGACCCGCUGCUGAUGACCCUGCCAUCGUUCAGUCGGCGGUGGCUCUGGAGUCUGGAGGCUGGUGGUGCUGGUGAUCCUACUACCGCUGCAACCACCACCACCAGCAGCAGAUAUAGCAGCUACAGAUUGGAACCACACUUUAUAAAGUGUUUAAAUAAUAUAAAAUGCAUAUAA